RNAcentral lists this ribosomal RNA (255 nucleotides) under uncultured bacterium. RNAcentral's name for it is "partial 16S ribosomal RNA". It matches the Rfam family "Bacterial small subunit ribosomal RNA", at positions 524 to 776 of the family's 1533-position model. The record is from RNAcentral.
UACAGAGGGUGCAAGCGUUGUUCGGAAUUAUUGGGCGUAAAGCGCGUGUAGGCGGCUUUGCAAGUCGGGUGUGAAAUCCCUCGGCUCAACCGAGGAAGUGCGCCCGAAACUGCAGAGCUUGAGUGCCGGAGAGGAUGGCGGAAUUCCCCAAGUAGAGGUGAAAUUCGUAGAUAUGGGGAGGAACACCGGUGGCGAAGGCGGCCAUCUGGACGGUAACUGGACGCUGAGACGCGGAAAGCGUGGGUAGCAAACAGG